RNAcentral lists this ribosomal RNA (468 nucleotides) under uncultured bacterium. Its description in RNAcentral is "bacterial SSU rRNA". It matches the Rfam family "Bacterial small subunit ribosomal RNA", at positions 30 to 490 of the family's 1533-position model. The record is from RNAcentral.
AUUGAACGCUGGCGGCAUGCCUUACACAUGCAAGUCGAACGGCAGCACGGGAGCUUGCUCCUGGUGGCGAGUGGCGAACGGGUGAGUAAUACAUCGGAACGUACCCUGAAGUGGGGGAUAACGUAGCGAAAGUUACGCUAAUACCGCAUAUUCUGUGAGCAGGAAAGAGGGGGAUCGCAAGACCUCUUGCUUUAGGAGCGGCCGAUGUCGGAUUAGCUAGUUGGUGAGGUAAAGGCUCACCAAGGCGACGAUCCGUAGCGGGUCUGAGAGGAUGAUCCGCCACACUGGGACUGAGACACGGCCCAGACUCCUACGGGAGGCAGCAGUGGGGAAUUUUGGACAAUGGGCGCAAGCCUGAUCCAGCCAUGCCGCGUGAGUGAAGAAGGCCUCGGGUUGUUAAAGGCUCUUUCGGUGGGGUAAGAAAUUGCACAGGAUAAUACUCUGCGUGGAUGACGGUACCGGAAGAAG